GAUGAAGAACGUAGCGAAAUGCGAUAAGUAAUGUGAAUUGCAGAAUUCAGUGAAUCAUCGAAUCUUUGAACGCACAUUGCGCCCGCCAGUAUUCUGGCGGGCAUGCCUGUUCGAGCGUCAUUACAACCCUCAGGCCCCCGGGCCUGGCGUUGGGGAUCGGCGGAAGCCCCCUGCGGGCACAACGCCGUCCCCCAAAUACAGUGGCGGUCCCGCCGCAGCUUCCAUUGCGUAGUAGCUAACACCUCGCAACUGGAGAGCGGCGCGGCCACGCCGUAAAACACCCAACUUCUGAAUGUUGACCUCGAAUCAGGUAGGAAUACCCGCCGAACUUAAGCAUAUCAAUAAGCGGAGGA
Molecule: unclassified non-coding RNA, 353 nt
Filed under: soil metagenome
Description: partial contains 5.8S ribosomal RNA, internal transcribed spacer 2, and large subunit ribosomal RNA
Rfam family: 5.8S ribosomal RNA (bases 1-120)
Source: RNAcentral